GUAAAUAUUUAUUUAUUACCUAAAUUAUAAUUAUCAUUCUUUUUCCCAUAUUUUCCAACUCAUUAUCAAAUGCCUUUUUUUUCAAGACUAGAACUUGAGCUAUGAAGUGGAUUUUUUGCCAAGUCCACUUGAAUAAUCAACAUUUCGUCAAUUUAGCAAGUUUACUUUAAUAUAUAUUGUUAUGUUACUUCGCAUGAAAUGCUUAAUUUCCUUCGAACUUAUUGCUGUUAUUAUAUUAAUCUAGAUAUGCAAUAAUUUCAAAUGGUGAAAUCUAAAGGACUCGCUACUAAAGCUAAUUAAAGGCAUGUUUCGAACAACUUUUUGGCUGUUUUUUUUUUAAGACAGCGGCCACAAUUUCAUUUAGAUGGUUUCUUGCUAUUUUCUAUUAUUUUUAAGAAGUUUCUAUGGUGAAAAAUAACUUUCUGCAACCUUAGUGACGUAGUUGUUUCUACACAGCAAUUUACGCUGAAUCCUACCAUUUUGAUGCCGAAUCAUCCCAUCAUGUUGAAUCCUGUCGUCCCGAUGCCUAAUCCAACCUGAAACCUACAAGGAAAAAAAUGCAUGGGAAGAGAAGAUGAGCAUAUCAAAGUAGCGAAGCUGGGGUACAAAGAGGCGGUUCGGGAUGGGAACCAUGAGGAAGAAGUGCGGUGGGCGAACAUGAUCGGCGACCUCCUCAAGAGGAGGAGGGAGUACAUUGAGGGUCUGAGCUUUCACCAAAUCCUCAUAAAAGGUGAACUUUAGAAGUGUUGAUGAAGCUAUAGUUAUUGCCUUAUUGGAGCUACUCUUUCUUUGUCAUCAUCCGCAUUUGUUCUAUAGGCAUGCAUUCUUAUCUACUCAAGUUUUACAAGCUGGUUAAUAGUUAUGAUUGUGCUUCUUUUGCUGCAUGUCUUCCGAGAGAUAUCAGAUUGGGGCAAUUUUUAAUUUACAAGUAUCUUAGUGCUGCGAGCUUGCUAUUUCAUCAGCUAGAGGAAGAGUUGCGAUGUUUUGGUAGCGAGACACCUCUAAUAUUUCAAGGGGAAUAGAAUUUGAAAUGCUACAAAAAUUCCAAGUCUUCCACCUCAUAAUUAUCUUCAAGCUCUUGAGCUUAGGAGGCUAAUGGGGCAACUCUUUCAACUUCGGGUAGUUAAUUAGAUCCAGUUCAAUUAUAAGGAAACAAACAUCAUCUUCAUCAGUUACUCCUCCCUCGAACUAAUCCUCUAAUGCAACAUGUGGUCUUCUAAUAAUUUGUUGUGAAUCUCUAUGAUUUAAGUGGAGUUUUUGUUUCAUCUACAUCUCUUAUUUAUGUGAGGCUUUUGUUUCUGUGUAGUGAAUGUCUUAGAUUUUUUUGUGGCACAGGUCGACUGUUUUUGUUUGAAAGUACUUAUUUAUUAGAUGCAAAAAUUGUUAAAUUGUUGGGUUAUGUCAGUGUUAUGAAGAUGCUUUUGAAUGGCCUCAACUAUUUUUUUGAAUUAUAAUCUUGUAUUGUUUGAAAACCUUUGUACAAACCAUUUUUCUUGAGUGAUAAUCAGAAUUUGUCCUUUUGGUUGAAUGA
Long non-coding RNA from Dendrobium catenatum, 1531 nucleotides. RefSeq lists it as uncharacterized. The transcript has 2 exons. Lineage: Eukaryota; Viridiplantae; Streptophyta; Magnoliopsida; Asparagales; Orchidaceae. The record is from RefSeq and is a predicted model, not a curated record.